UACCUGUGUCUUUCAGACCUUUCUGAAGUUCUAAGAUUCGGUUCCUUUGGGAUAGUGAGUUUAGAUCUUCUGCUGGAGUUAACUUGAUCAGCCACCUAGAUUCAAUAACAAACUCAUUGAACCUAUCAACGUAAAGGUUUAUAGUAUUAACAAAUUCUAAAUCUCCAAUAUGUAACACACACCUUAGCUUCUAGUUUUUGCUUUUUGGUGUCUUGGUUUUGCAACUUAGAGACUAAGAC
RNAcentral lists this long non-coding RNA (239 nucleotides) under Brassica napus (rape). RNAcentral describes it as "long non-coding RNA (BNAP_LNC026994)". The record is from RNAcentral. Lineage: Eukaryota; Viridiplantae; Streptophyta; Magnoliopsida; Brassicales; Brassicaceae.